Molecule: small nuclear RNA, 105 nt
Organism: Myotis daubentonii (Daubenton's bat)
Lineage: Eukaryota; Metazoa; Chordata; Mammalia; Chiroptera; Vespertilionidae
Source: RefSeq, a predicted model, not a curated record
GUGUAUACUUUUUCCCUAUAUACUAAAAUUGGAGCGAUAUAGAUAAGAUGGGCAUGGCCGCUGGGUAAGGAUGGCAUACAAAUUUGGGAAGUGUUCCAAAAUUUU